UACGGUGAAUACGUUCCCGGGUCUUGUACACACCGCCCGUCACACCACGAGAGUUUGUAACACCCGAAGCCGGUGGAGUAACCUUUUAGGAGCUAGCCGUCGAAGGUGGGAUAAAUGAUUGGGGUGAAGUCGUAACAAGGUAGCCGUAUCGGAAGGUGCGGCUGGAUCACCUCCUUU
This 177-nucleotide ribosomal RNA is filed under the name Staphylococcus aureus. Its description in RNAcentral is "partial 16S ribosomal RNA". It matches the Rfam family "Bacterial small subunit ribosomal RNA", at positions 1358 to 1533 of the family's 1533-position model. The record is from RNAcentral. Lineage: Bacteria; Bacillati; Bacillota; Bacilli; Caryophanales; Staphylococcaceae.